This 1365-nucleotide ribosomal RNA is filed under the name uncultured rumen protozoa. RNAcentral describes it as "SSU rRNA". It matches the Rfam family "Eukaryotic small subunit ribosomal RNA", at positions 319 to 1828 of the family's 1831-position model. The record is from RNAcentral.
CUUUCGAUGGUAGUGUAUUGGACUACCAUGGCUCUCACGGGUAACAGGGAAUUAGGGUUCGAUUCUGGAGAAGGAGCCUGAGAAACGGCUACUACAUCUACGGAAGGCAGCAGGCGCGUAAAUUACCCAAUCCUGACUCAGGGAGGUGGUGACAAGAUAUAACAACGCGAUCAAAAUCGCGAUUGUAGUGAGGGUAUUCUAAACAGAACCUAUAGUACGAUUAGAGGGCAAGUCUGGUGCCAGCAGCCGCGGUAAUUCCAGCUCUAAUAGCGUAUAUUAAAGUUGCUGCAGUUAAAAAGCUCGUAGUUGGAUUUCAAGGUUUAUAUGCCCUCCGGGGAAUAUGGCCUACUAGUCUUUUGACUGUUACUGUGAGAAAAUUAGAGUGUUUCAAGCAGGCUUUCGCAAGAAUACAUUAGCAUGGAAUAACGAAUGUAUUUAGAAUCUUGGUUAAUUCUAAAUUACGAUUAAUAGAGACAGUUGGGGGCAUUAGUAUUUAAUUGUCAGAGGUGAAAUUCUUGGAUUUGUUAAAGACUAACGUAUGCGAAAGCAUUUGCCAAGGAUGUUUUCAUUAAUCAAGGACGAAAGAUAGGGGAUCAAAGACAAUCAGAUACUGUCGUAGUCCUAUCUAUAAACUAUGCCGACUAGGGAUUGGAGUGGGAAUCCCCCAUUUCAGUACCUUAAGAGAAAUCCAAAGUCUUGGGUUCUGGGGAGAGUAUUGGUCGCAAAACUGAAACUUAAAGAAAUUGACGGAAGGGCACCACCCAGGAGUUGGGGCUGCGGCUUAUUUGACUCAACACGGGAAACUCCACCAGGUCCAGACAUAGUAAGGAUUGACAGAUUGAUAGCUCUUUUCUUGAUUCUAUGGGUGGUGGUGCAUGGCCGUUCUUAGUUGGUGGAGUGAUUUGUCUGGUUAAUUCCGAUAACGAACGAGACCUUAACCUGCUAAUUAGAUCCUUUUAUCUUAUAAUCGAUAUCUUCUUAGAGGGACUAUGUAAAACAAAUACAUGGAAGUUUGAGGCAAUAACAGGUCAGUGAUGCCCUUAUAUGUCCUGGGCUGCACGCGUGCUACACUGAUGUAUACAACAAGUGCCUAACCAGACAUGGUAUGGCAAUCUCGAAUAUGCAUCGUGAUGGGGAUAGAUCUUUGCAAUUAUAGAUCUUGAACGAGGAAUUCCUAGUAAGUGCAAGUCAUCAUCUUGCAUUGAUUAUGUCCCUGCCCUUUGUACACACCGCCCGUCGCUCCUACCGAUACCGGGCGAUCCGGUGAACCUUUUGGACCUUAACUGGGAAGAUAAGUAAACCAUAUCACCUAGAGGAAGGAGAAGUCGUAACAAGGUUUCCGUAGGUGAACCUGCAGAAGGAUCA